GAUGAACGCUCGCGGCAGGCCUAACACAUGCAAGUCGAGGGAGGAGCCUUCGGGCUUCGACCGGCGUACGGGUGCGUAACGCGUAUACAAUCUGCCUUUCACAUAGGGAUAGCCCGAAGAAAUUUGGAUUAAUACCUAAUGGUAUAUAGAUGUGGCAUCACCUUUAUAUUAAAGCUGAGGCGGUGAAAGAUGAGUAUGCGUUCUAUUAGCUAGCUGGAGAGGUAACGGCUCCCCAAGGCGACGAUAGAUAGGGGUUCUGAGAGGGAUAUCCCCCACACUGGUACUGAGAUACGGACCAGACUCCUACGGGAGGCAGCAGUGAGGAAUAUUGGACAAUGGUCGGAAGACUGAUCCAGCCAUGCCGCGUGCAGGAAGACGGCCUUAUGGGUUGUAAACUGCUUUUGCAGGGGAAGAAUAAGGACUACGCGUAGUUUGAUGACGGUACUCUGCGAAUAAGCAUCGGCUAACUCCGUG
RNAcentral lists this ribosomal RNA (474 nucleotides) under uncultured bacterium. RNAcentral describes it as "partial 16S ribosomal RNA". It matches the Rfam family "Bacterial small subunit ribosomal RNA", at positions 28 to 507 of the family's 1533-position model. The record is from RNAcentral.